GACGAACGCUGGCGGCGUGCUUAAUACAUGCAAGUCAACUGAACUUUAGGUAGCAAUAUUUAAAGGGAGGUGGCGCACGGGUGAGUAACACGUAGGUAAUCUGCCUUCAGGACUGACAUAACUCCGCGAAAGCGGGACUAAAAUCAGAUGAUGCAGCGGCUCGACAUCGAGACAGUUGUUAAACCUUCGGGGCCUGAAGAUGAGCCUGCGUCUGAUUAGGUAGUUGGAGGGGUAAUGGCCCACCAAGCCUGCGAUCAGUAGCUGGUCUGAGAGGAUGAUCAGCCACACUGGAACUGAGACACGGUCCAGACUCCUACGGGAGGCAGCAGUAAGGAAUAUUGCUCAAUGGCCGAAAGGCUGAAGCAGCAACGCCGCGUGGAGGAUGAAAUACUUUAGUAUGUAGACUCCUGUAAGAGGGGAAAAUAUACAGUUCUGCUGUAUUGAUUGUACCCUCAGAGUAAGCACCGGCUAACUACG
This 477-nucleotide ribosomal RNA is filed under the name uncultured bacterium. Its description in RNAcentral is "bacterial SSU rRNA". It matches the Rfam family "Bacterial small subunit ribosomal RNA", at positions 28 to 505 of the family's 1533-position model. The record is from RNAcentral.